AAAUAGAAAACAUACCUCCAUUCAUCAUUCCUUCUGGGAAGAAGUAGACUAAUAGGUAAGAAGCAACUAAUUCUUCAUGGGAUUUAAAACUAAGUAGAUGAAUCUGAAGUCUGGGCUGCUUCCAUUCUACCCCAUUGUCUCUUCUGAGGGAGAAAGCUUCUAAGGGAGAAAGCCCUUGGGCCUUGGAACAAAAGAAGACAGAGUCUUUAGAGUACACACUCCAUACUUCCAUUAAAUAAAUUUCAACAACAGGUCAAAGCAUGUAUCUUGCAACCUCCUCUGAAUAAGGCUCAGUGCAAAGCUGGGGUCAGUGGCCUUUACCUUCAUUCUUAUCUAUCAAGGAUGUUUUGUGAGCAUAAGAGGCAGCAACUUUACUUGUAUUUCAUUUCAUAGCUUAAUUAUAUCUACAUACAAUUAGAAACAUAUGGUAAGGCGUAUUUGUGAAGGUCACAAAAUCUACUAGAGUUAGAAUGCCAGGAUUUGAUUCCAACUUCUGCCACUUACUAACUGCGGAACCUUAGGCAAGUCACUUAACCUCUAAGUUUCCUCAGCUGUAAAACAACAAUAAACACAGUCUACAGGU
Molecule: long non-coding RNA, 583 nt
Organism: Mandrillus leucophaeus (drill)
Lineage: Eukaryota; Metazoa; Chordata; Mammalia; Primates; Cercopithecidae
Exons: 4
Source: RefSeq, a predicted model, not a curated record